AGCGAACGCUGGCGGCAGGCCUAACACAUGCAAGUCGAACGAACCUUUCGGGGUUAGUGGCGGACGGGUGAGUAACACGUGGGAACGUGCCUUUAGGUUCGGAAUAACUCAGGGAAACUUGUGCUAAUACCGAAUGUGCUCUUCGGGGGAAAGAUUAAUCGCCUUUAGAGCGGCCCGCGUCUGAUUAGCUAGUUGGUUGGGGUAAUGGCUCACCAAGGCGACGAUCAGUAGCUGGUCUGAGAGGAUGAUCAGCCACAUUGGGACUGAGACACGGCCCAAACUCCUACGGGAGGGAGCAGUGGGGAAUCUUGCGCAAUGGGCGAAAGCCUGACGCAGCCAUGCCGCGUGAAUGAUGAAGGUCUUAGGAUUGUAAAAUUCUUUCACCGGGGGCGAUAAUGACGGUACCCGGAGAAGAAGCCCCGGCUAACUUCGUG
Molecule: ribosomal RNA, 434 nt
Filed under: uncultured bacterium
Lineage: Bacteria
Description: partial 16S ribosomal RNA
Rfam family: Bacterial small subunit ribosomal RNA
Source: RNAcentral